UCAUCUUAACUUAGGAUUCUUGUGAUUCUGGAUGACUCAGUUAUAAGAGAACUGAGGAUUGAGUGUUUCUCUUGCCUUCUUUUUUUACCUCUAACUCUUUAUUCUUAAAAAUACUGGGUUUUAAGAAUAAACUAUUUUUUUCCUCUCAUCCUACUGUCCAAUCUGAGAGAGCAUAACUAAUGCGUUCUGCUUUUUUGAACAGGGUUCUAUGGUUGGUUCAGGAUCCUUGGAUGUCGAAGGCAUCCUUGGAGUGAUCUCGUUGUUCCUACGAGGCAAAGAUGAUGGAUCUGUCCAUGAAUUCUUUUUCAUUUGACAGAUUUUGCUCAAAAGGUUGAAGGGAAAUAGUGCAUCAAAAUGUUCAUAAGGGUCAACCUGAUCUUUUUUCCAGGAUGAUCCCAAAUGAGGAAACCCUAAAAGAGUCACCGACUCCAACUAUCGUCCAUAUCCAACAUCAUAGAAGUGAUUACUGUGAACGAGUUCUACCAUAUAACUCGAUUUCAUCUUUAAGCUAUAACAGUCUUAAGUGGCGAAACUGUGUAGAGGAAAAACAGUGAUACAUGUAUUCUAUAAGGUAAGAAAAGCUAAAUUUCUUUCAAUUUUAAAGUCAAAUUAUUGAAUUUAAAUACUGUGGUAUGAAGAUGUAGUUGCAUCACUUAAUAUGAAAGAAUUAAGAAUUAUUGUAAAAAGUAUUCUGGUUUGAAAUGUGAAGUUGAUUAAGGCUUUUAAUAUUGUGAAUUUGUAGAUUGUUUUAGUAUCAAUGUGAUUUAUAGAAUUUUCAAUUAAAACAUAUGAUUGAAAGUAUACUAGAAUUCCGGAAGCAAGUUAUUUUUGUGUAUACAUGAGUAGAGAUUGAUUAGGAAAAUAGGAAUGUUACAUAUUUUCAUUCCCACAAAAUCAGCUUGUGAAGUGAGAUUUACAUCCAAUUACAUGUAAGACUUUCAGCACAUCCUCUCACACCGAGGUAUAUACAUCUUGUGUGUGAGACUAAAUAUUAAGGGAUGGUCUGAUAGCGGAUGGAAUAAUAUACCUAACAAAUCUCGCUAGGAUAAACUCUAAUAAUAGCUAUCAUACCAUGUUAAGAAGUGGAUUUUAAACUUAACUCAAUCUCACAAAAAUGAUUUUCUCAUUAAAAUGUCAAAACACCUAACAAAGAUCAAAAGAAAAGUACUAGAAUUCAAACAAAAUAAUUAUAUAAUAAAGGAACAUUUUUCACAAUUGGUUUACAAGUUGUCACACCACAAUUGGUUUCCAAAACAAUUUGCACAUCCCCAUACUAGAUCAAACUCAGAGCAAUUGUUUAAAAAAAAUUGGUUUGAGUUUGAAGGUUAAGUUGACGUUUGAACACAAAAAUGUUUGGAGUUUAUUGGGAAGAUACAACAUCAAUAAAAUGAGUCUAACUAUAUAAAGAAUUGACAUCACCCUCAAUCCAAAACCUUAAGAUUAUGGGUUUUGCCCAAGUUUCUUCUCUUUUUGUCUAACUCACUUUCUUCUUUUUUAUUUGUGAGUUUUGGGGGUAUUCCCACUCAUAGGUUUGAUAUCCACAUCUAUGAAUUGAAAGGUCCAAAUGAUUCACUCUCUAAUCUAUUAUUAGAAUCAAUAUGUUUAUUUUCUUAUUCCUGCUAAAUGGGAAACUUAGAUUCACUCUUGGAUUCCCAACAAUUUAUUCCUCAAGAGUGAGUUCCUUUCACAUUGGUAUACUUCUUCCAAGGAAAACAUUCCCAAUCAUGAAUACCAUUUUUAUAUCACCAUUCAGAAAGACCUUCGAUAUAGUAACCAUUGUAUUCAUUAAAUCAAUCACCAAAACUAAUCAUAAACUCUGAUAUCAUAUUGAAUAUAAUAAAAACUAUAUAAGAAAUUAAUCUCCUUUAUUUUAAAUAUAUGUAUAUCAUGGCAUUGAAAUUCAUAUAGCAAUGCAAAAAUAUCUUUCUAUAUCAACAAAUUAACUAUAAAAUAUAGCCUUAUAACAUACAAUGGUUUUAGACAAAUCUCAUCUACACCCGUCGGACAAACUCCAAAUAAUUAAUAAAACAAAUCUUAAUUAAAUUUAAUAAUAGUACCAAACCUUUACCAACAAUCACAUUACAAGUAUCCUCAAAACAAUAAGUCAUCUUCAUAAUAUUUUCAGUAACGCAUAUAAGGCCUUCCUAUUUACAAUACCUUCACCGGUUUGCACUAAUAUAAAUUUUAAAAACAAUGAAUUAAUAAUUUGUUAGUAAUAAAAAAUAUAUUGAUAUUAAAAAGAAGAAAUAUGAGAGAAACUUGGAUUUGAAGAAACAUUAGGUUUUAAUAAAGAGAGGAGUAUGGGAAGAUGAUUUUGGCCGAUAUUAUCAAAUGGCAAUGAAAGUGAAUGGCCCCAAGAGAGGAUAGCAGUUUCGAGAAGAUUAUUCAACCAUGAUAGAGUUUGGAGACAAUGGGUUAACCUUAGAGAUGUUGUUAAACUUAGUAACACAUUAGAGAUGUGUUAUUACUCUUGGUAACUAAAAGUCAGGAGCAGGUAUCAUUAAUUUAAAUUUAUUUUUAAAUAAAUUAAAAUAUUACUUUAAAAUGUUAAUUAUUAAAUUAAUAGUAAC
This is a long non-coding RNA of Vigna radiata var. radiata (mung bean), 2570 nucleotides long. RefSeq lists it as uncharacterized. The record is from RefSeq and is a predicted model, not a curated record. NCBI's taxonomy places the organism in Eukaryota, Viridiplantae, Streptophyta, Magnoliopsida, Fabales, Fabaceae. The transcript is spliced from 3 exons.